GAUAGCUAGUUUCAGGAUGCAGUUUAAACACAUUAACAUUUUAAAAAGCGAUUCACAUUUUAGAACAAAAAAGUCAACCUGUGGGAGGUGAGAGGCUGAGGUUCUGAAAGCGAAGAUGGAAUGGGGGGCGCUGCUCUGCCAAACCUCGAAAACGCGACCAUUUCAAAGGGCCCCGAGCCGACUUUGAAAUUCAAGCAUUCCGUCGGGUCUGUGUGGAUAAAAUGCCCGCUUGUGCUUAGUGGAGCCCGCUUACUGGCAGAGGUGGAAGGGUCUUGCUGAGCUUUUUUAAAAACUGCAUUGAUAUUUAUAGAAUAGUUCAAACGCACCCACGAUGGGCGUUUUAUGAGAAAAUGUAUUACAUGGGGUACUUUAUGAAAAUGAUCUACUUCUGACCGUGUGGCACAAGAGGUGAUGGGGCAUUGAUGUCGCCUGGGCCGCUUAGCAGCUGAGGCUCUUGAGACAGGAUUCAUGGUCCGCAGGUCCCAGCCCGAACCUCUGUCCAUGCAGUUUUCACAGCUUGCAUCCCCAGCUGGCCAUUCUGCAGAAAUGGCCCUGAUAGUCCCUUUAUGGAGGGCGUGCUGCUCUAUUUGACAUCAUCUCUGGCCUUUAUGGGAGCCUUUCACGAUUAAGGGGCUUUGAAUGCCAUCUUUGGAAAGUGCCAACUUCCAUCCUUCGUGAUAGGGAACCCUGUCCUUGUCUCACGGGACUGGAAACUCGGGCUGGGUGUCGCUUGCCAAGAUCGUGAGGAAUCGGCAAGGAAGGGGAUGCGAUGGGUAUGGGCCUCUGAGGAUUUCUGACAGUGUUCAUCUUUCCGGGAACCAGCCUCCAUUUCCUAAUGAUUCAUCCUCAAAAGUGCAGCCAGACAGCCCAGCAGAUCCCGGGCCUGUCUGUGCAACCAGCAAACUAAUCGUGCCCACUAACCGACCACACUGACCAAGCAAAGUCAGCGUGCAAACUGAGGGAACUAACCCUAAAAACUGUGGACUGUGAGCAAAAUGCCACUGUGGCGUCUUCAGAUAGAAAGUGUCCUCAGCCGUCAGUCAGUCUCCCUCCCUCUCUCUCUCUCUGUCUCUCUCUCCCUCCCUGUCUCUGUCUCUCUCAGCCGUGGAGGCCCAGACACACGCUUCCAUCUGCCCCCGGCCCCAAGCUCCUUCCUUGAGGGUGCUGUUGCAUUUUCUCGCAGACAGGUUUGGAGUCAGUAAAUGUAAUUCGAGAUGCUGUAAGCGCAGGCCCUCCAGGACCACUUCAACCGACCCCAUCUUAACAACAGAGUAAUCAAGAGUUGUCUUGCAGGAACUGAGACCCCCUUGUCCAGUUCAGGCUAGUUGAGACCACCAACUCAUCAACUGGGCCUGUGCAAAUGCUCCGUAAGUGACCUUUUUGCUGUCAGGGAGCUAAAAGUUCCACCCUUGGAUCCUGCCAACGCCACCAUUUUGUGAGCAUGGGUGCUAUGAAGGAGGCAUGGAGCUGGACUACGUGCGCAGGUCAUCACUUGCCUGGCUUCUCACCUCCAGUCCUCUGUCUCCACACUCCAAAUCCCCCUGCUCUUCAUCCUGUAAACUGUGCCCCCAGCCCUGGAGCUGGGAGACAGAUCUGAGCACACACAUCCCGUCUCCUUGCAGCUUAGUCUCACAAAGUAGAGCUACGUUUCUUUUCCCAAAAGCUGACACGUAAUAACUGACUUUUUGUAUGCAUAUCAGGCAAGAGAACCCCUAUUUUGUGCCGUGAAAAUGCCACAUCCGCCCAUCUGCCUGGGGCCCGGACACCUUUGCUGCUCAGUAAUUCAGCAGGAGGACACAGCCCAGGGGCACAGAGGAGGCUGCGGCAGGGACAGAGCAGACCAAGUAUGCCCCGGGCCCUGUCCGGCUCUGCGGGUCAGUGGAGUGAUGGUCAGGCCUGGCCCCCUGUGAGUCUCUCAGAAGCGGGCGAGGACCUGUACACCUGGGCUUGGAAAGGCCUGCUAUCCAGCUGUGCUGAAGUGGGGCUAAGGAGAGACCAGUGAAGAGGCUGUGCUCCCCUGGCCCAGGGGCAUGGCAGUGGGGCCAGCGCCAAACGGAGAGGACCUAUGAGACUCCUCGCGGCUGCACUGCCCGGAGUUUGCACCCAAGCUGACAAACACAGUCAUCCUGAAGAAGAGAAAGGGCGAGCAGAUCUUGAGGUUUGGACGAGCAGAAGCCUGUAGGAUGGAAUUGAUGUGGAGCCCAGGAAGCAUCUCUAUGCCAGGGCGUGGUGGAAGGAUCUUCUUUCUUCUGAAUCCCUCAGUCGAGGAGAAAUCCUAGGCUGCCUGUGAUGAAUGAAGUCAGUUUUAAUCCCUUAGCAAUGCACAGCGCUGAACAGAUAAUCUUGCUCAGUAACGUCCUAGGGACACAGACUGAGCCUCAGCAGCUGCUGUGCAGAGGAUUUCCGCCUCUGCUUGAAUAAUAGGUCUGGAUCUCACUGGUCAUUAAGGAAGAGGAAAGAGCCACUCAACAGUUCCUUGAAACCCCUGGCACUCCCAGUGUGUUAGCUUUGGAAAUCACUCCCAACAGCAGCUGUCUGACCGCCUUCCAGCCUGCCUGGUCCUGCAGCUGGAAACGCAUCGUCCCCAUCAUUUAAUUAGCGUCUGUGUGGUCCUGAUGCUUCUUGGAGAGAGAACUGCAUUGCAUCCCUUCUUCACAACAUCCAACCUUCUGUGUUGCUUUUAGACUGUUUUACUGGGUCUCCGCUGUCAACCCUUGGAGUGGAUUGGCACUAUAGCAACUUCCCUCAGUGACAGCUUUGUGUCUAGUGUAGAAACAAGCUAUUGUAAGACCAUCAAAAUACAGCGUCUUGGGGACGUUCACAACGGUGACAUCAGAGAGUUUGUAGAUAGCUCUGCAGUGCAUUUGUGGGGUGACAAUUUGGGGACUCAGUUCACUAAGGGUGCGCUGCAAAUACAUUUGUGUUUGGGAUACUCUGUCUUCGGGGUUAGGUCAACUCUGUAAAUCAAAACUUGUUUUCUCCUGGGGCCAGCCCGGUGGCACAGCAGUUAAGUUCGCAUGUUCUGCU
Long non-coding RNA from Equus quagga, 3027 nucleotides. RefSeq lists it as uncharacterized. Lineage: Eukaryota; Metazoa; Chordata; Mammalia; Perissodactyla; Equidae. The record is from RefSeq and is a predicted model, not a curated record. The transcript has 3 exons.